RNAcentral lists this transfer RNA (72 nucleotides) under bacterium. RNAcentral describes it as "tRNA-Arg". It matches the Rfam family "tRNA". Rfam says of the family: Transfer RNA (tRNA) molecules are approximately 80 nucleotides in length. Their secondary structure includes four short double-helical elements and three loops (D, anti-codon, and T loops). Further hydrogen bonds mediate the characteristic L-shaped molecular structure. tRNAs have two regions of fundamental functional importance: the anti-codon, which is responsible for specific mRNA codon recognition, and the 3' end, to which the tRNAs corresponding amino acid is attached (by aminoacyl-tRNA synthetases). tRNAs cope with the degeneracy of the genetic code in two manners: having more than one tRNA (with a specific anti-codon) for a particular amino acid; and 'wobble' base-pairing, i.e. permitting non-standard base-pairing at the 3rd anti-codon position. The record is from RNAcentral.
GCCCUCGUAGCUUAAUGGAUAAAGCAAGGCUCUUCUAAGGCUUAGAUGGAGGUUCGAUUCCUCUCGAGGGUA